Molecule: ribosomal RNA, 482 nt
Filed under: uncultured bacterium
Lineage: Bacteria
Description: bacterial SSU rRNA
Rfam family: Bacterial small subunit ribosomal RNA
Source: RNAcentral
GAUGAACGCUAGCGGCAGGCCUAAUACAUGCAAGUCGAACGGAUAUAUGUUUUUCGGAAUAUAUAUUAGUGGCGCACGGGUGAGUAACACGUACAUAACUUGCCCUCAAGCGGGGGAUAGCCUUGGGAAACUGAGAGUAAUACCCCAUAGAAUUAUUGGACGGCAUCGUUUGAUAAUUAAAACUACGGUGUUUGGGGGUAGAUGUGCGUCUGAUUAGCUAGUUGGUGAGGUAACUGCUCACCAAGGCGACGAUCAGUAGGGGGCGUGAGAGCGUGGCCCCCCACACGGGUACUGAGACACGGACCCGACUCCUACGGGAGGCAGCAGUAAGGAAUAUUGGUCAAUGGAGGGAACUCUGAACCAGCCAUGCCGCGUGAAGGAUGACGGCCCUCUGGGUUGUAAACUUCUUUUGGAUGGGGCGAAAAAACGGGAUUUAUCCUGGACUGACGGUACCAUCAGAAUAAGCACCGGCUAACUCCGUG